UGCUUAUUGAAAUAUUUGAUAAUAAGUACAUUCUGCCCAGUGAAAUUUUCAACGGCCGCGGUAUCCUGACCGUGCAAAGGUAGCAUAAUCAUUUGCCUCUUAAUUAGUGGCUUGAAUGAAUGAAUAAACACAGAUAUACCUAUAUAUUUAUUUUACAUAAAAAUUAUUCUUCAGGUGAAGAAACCUGAAUUUUCUAAAAAGACAAAAAGACCCUAUCAAGCUUUAUAUUUUACCUUACAUUAAUUUAAAAUAUUUGAUUGGGGCGAUUAUUGAGAAUUAAUAUUCUCUCAACUUCUAUAAGAAUUAUUAUUCUUCCCUCCUUAAUUAUUUAAUAUAAGAAAGCUACUGUAGGGAUAACAGGCUUAUAUUUUCUUAGAGUCCAAAUUAAAGAAAAUGAUUGGCACCUCGAUGUUGGCUUAGGAUUCCUACUCUUUGCAGAAGAAGAGAUAAGGUGGUUUGUUCAACCAUAAAAUUCCU
Molecule: ribosomal RNA, 477 nt
Filed under: Myrianida rubropunctata
Lineage: Eukaryota; Metazoa; Annelida; Polychaeta; Phyllodocida; Syllidae
Description: partial 16S ribosomal RNA
Rfam family: Bacterial large subunit ribosomal RNA
Source: RNAcentral